RNAcentral lists this ribosomal RNA (533 nucleotides) under Naganishia albidosimilis. RNAcentral's name for it is "LSU rRNA". It matches the Rfam family "Eukaryotic large subunit ribosomal RNA", at positions 86 to 628 of the family's 3401-position model. The record is from RNAcentral. Lineage: Eukaryota; Fungi; Basidiomycota; Tremellomycetes; Filobasidiales; Filobasidiaceae.
ACGGCGAGUGAAGCGGGAAGAGCUCAAAUUUGAAAUCUGGUAGCCUUCGGUUGCCCGAGUUGUAAUCUAGAGAAGUGUUUUCCGUGCCGGCCCAUGUACAAGUCCCUUGGAACAGGGCGUCAUAGAGGGUGAGAAUCCCGUCCUUGACAUGGACCCCCGGUGCUUUGUGAAUACACUUUCAACGAGUCGAGUUGUUUGGGAAUGCAGCUCAAAAUGGGUGGUGAAUUCCAUCUAAAGCUAAAUAUUGGCGAGAGACCGAUAGCGAACAAGUACCGUGAGGGAAAGAUGAAAAGCACUUUGGAAAGAGAGUUAAACAGUACGUGAAAUUGUUGAAAGGGAAACGAUUGAAGUCAGUCAUGCUCUUUGGUAUUUAUAUCAUUGAGUGGGGUCAACAUCAGUUUUGAGCGAUGGAUAAAGGCACUAGGAAGGUAGCACUCUCGGGUGAACUUAUAGCCUAGCGUCAUAUACAUUGUUUGGGACUGAGGAACGCAGCAUGCCUUUAUGGCCGGGAUUCGUCCACGUACAUGCUUAGG